Sus scrofa (pig) is the source of this 19834-nucleotide non-coding RNA. NCBI's taxonomy places the organism in Eukaryota, Metazoa, Chordata, Mammalia, Artiodactyla, Suidae. The record is from RefSeq and is a predicted model, not a curated record.
CACUAUGCUGUACAUGUGUAACAUAUAAAAUUAUAUAUCAACUAUCCUUCAAUUUGAAAAGACUAAAAACAGACUAUUUUGUCUGAAAAAAUAUAUAAAUGGAGACAUAAAUCAUGUUAAUAUUUGAGAAGACUGAUAUUAAUGACAUUUCCCUAAAUUAAUAUAAAAAAUCAUGAACUUGGAGAACAGACUUGUGGUUGCCAAGGGGGAGGAGGAGGGAGUGGGAUGGACUGGGAGUCUGGGGUUAAUAGAUGCAGACUGUUGCCUUUGGAAUGGAUGGGCAAUGAGAUCCUGCUGUACAGCACUGGGAACUAUGUCUAAUCACUUCUGAUGAAUCUAUACCUGCAUAUGUAACCGGGUCAACAUACUAUAGAGUAGAAAAUUGACAGAACACUGUAAACCAGCUAUAAUGAAAAAAAAUUCAUAUAAUUCAAUUUUUUAUCUCUCUAAUUUAUUUUUAUGCAAAUAAAGAUGUUGAUACCAAAAUUUUACAAGAAUGAUUGAAGAGUCAGGAAAAAAAAAAUCCAAUGGAGAAGUAGAGAGAAAUUCACUUUAUCAAAUAUGAUUGUUUAUCAUAUAAAUAAAUAUGAUUUAUUCAUCAAUAAAUAAUUUAUUAAAAUGAUAUAGUAUUGACACAAGGACAGAUGAACCAUGAAAAAACGAGUGUUUAGAACCAGACUUACACAUAUUUAAGAACCAGGAGUAUGAUAAAAGGCAUUAAAAGGUGGUGGAAAAAAAAAUGGAUUAAUUCAUGAAUGAUUCUGGGGUAACUGGCUAUCUAUGUGGGGAGAAAAGAGAUAAGAUUAAAUCUUUUCUUCAAAAUUAAUGAAAACAUAAAUUUUAGAAGGUUUUAAGCCCUAAGGGUAAAAGCAUAAUUCUGAAACUAUUACAAGGCAACAGAGAAAAAUAUCUCAUGACUUCAGGGUAGGGAAAGAUUUUCUUCAUCAAAACACAGGCAGUACAUGUAAAAGAAGAGAUUAAUAAAAUUGAACACAUUAAAAAUUAAAACAUGUGUUCAAGGAAAACCAGCAUACUCGAAGUGGUAAGAUAAGUAAUAGAUAGGGAGAAUUUGUCAAGCAAGAUAAAGCAACAGUUUUUAAAAUGUUUGGAAUGAUACCAAAUGAUACCAGGAGAGCUCUGGUCUCUGAGAGAGGCAGGUUGGAGCAAAGAGGCUUUAGGAGAGAGAGAGAGAGCCAGCAAAUUUUGCAACUUGAAGACUAUUAAGUCUGGAAGAUGGCUAUGCCUGGGCAAUCUAUUCUAUUAUUUUCUCAUUUUUGUAUAUUUGGAGUAUUUCAUAAGAGAGGAAAAACCUCCUACGUCUAUAACAAUCCUCCUGACCUCUUUGCUACCCAUGUACUUGGACACAUUCUUUUGUUAGCUUCUGCUUCUGUGGACAUAAGGAUUAAAAACUGAAAUUCAGUUCUUAAGUUGUUCACAGUGGUGGGUAGAGUUUUCCACACCAUUCUAGUACCUGGUAUACAGCAGGUGCUCAAUGUGUGCUUAUUGUAUUGAAAUAAUUUCUGCAGUUCCCAUAAUUCCCUGUCUUGUCCUUCAGACCGAGGGCUCCCAAAGCUCCCUGAACUUCCCCAUUCCACCCAACACUCAUCAGACAGGACCAGAAAUAUUCAGUUAACAGCUACUUAGCUCUGUGAGGGCAGGAAGAGCAUCCAUGGGCUAUGGUAUCCCCAGGAGACAGCACAGUGCCUGACACUUAUUAACUCAAAGAACUUCGUUUAUUUAUAAUUCACAGUGUAAAAAUCCCAGUAUCCCUUCUUCACUAUUGCUAACUACCCACAAUUAGCCCAUUCCCACCACACCACAGACCAAAUGUGAACCAGGCUGCCUUGCCACUUGCCUUCGAGAGCAUUAUUCCAGGUCUGCUCCUCCCACCUCCUUUUCCCUGAACUGUGCUGGACUGAGGACCACCUUUGCAAACUGUAUUCAGGUUACCCUUCAACUUUGGUGACCUGCUUUUGUACUUAACUCCUCUGCCCUUGCUUUCAGAUGACCCUGGAAUCUUUUUCAACCUCCUUCCUUUGGCCACCCAGGCAGAAUAAUUUGGUUUGAGGAUAAGUUGGUGCUUGGCUUGGUUUUAGGAUUUGGUUGCCUGGAUCUGACAACCUGCCUAUAAGGAAACUACCACAGAGCCGCUAGACGGAGCAGGCCCUACAAGCAAAACACUGAGAAAGAGCUCAGAGUCCCUCCAACUAGAAUCAACCCCAAAUGGCCAGUUUCCAACUACAGGGAAACUGCCUGGUGUCCAGCAAUGAUUUGGGGGCUGCCUGAUCUGGUCCUCAGGAGCAGAGAUGAUCCCUGGUGGUCACACAGUAACUACAGGUCAGGGCUUAACAGUGAUUGCCAGUGCUGAACCCCCUGUGCUGGACUUUCUCUUUAGAAAUGGAUUAGAUUGGAUGCUUGUUUUGUUUUCUUCCCAGUAGCUGAAGUUCAGACACUCCCAUCUCCUAGCACUUAACAUUCCUACCCUGGGCAGCACUACUGCUAUAUAUCACUUACACUCCCUGCUGACAUUUUAUGGGGAUUUUAAAGCAGCAGGUGUGUGAGAUAGAAGCCAUUGUCAAUCAUUGUGUUAAAAAUGCUCCACCCUUUCAAACGCCUAAUCAGUGGGUUUGAUGGGUUGCAGCUGGCCACUAACCAGCCAAGAUUUGAAGCUUUCAAGGCAAAUAGUAUUGCCCCACUUUGGGAAGGGAGAGGGCUGAAGGCUAGGGAAAAGAGUAGCUGAGAAACCCAAGCCAGGCCAAGGCACUGUAGCCUCAUGGUAAAAUUGGCAGGAGUGCUUAUCCACCAACAGGAAAUCAGCAUAAAUAACAAGCAUGCAUGGUCUUGCCUCCAUAAUAUUGCUUUUUGUGUAUUUAUCAUGGAAAAGGUUCUAUUUUGAGGAAAGUAGGCUUAAGCACUGAUUGAGUUCCUAUUUAGACAACCUGAGGGAGUCCCUUCUGAGAGUCUUGUCUCUUCCGAGAAAUCUUACAAGAGAUGGGGGUAAGUGACCCACUUCAUAUUAGGGUCCAGGUAGGUUGUGUGAUUGUAUCUUAAGUGUGAGUUCUUUCCACAUAUCAGGUAUCCUCACUUUUUUUUUUUUUUGGUAAAGUUUUUGGGGAAAGUCCCAUAAGCAAUGCCUGGGGCAAUAAUUCCUCAGCCAUUUAUCAACUGCAAUAGCCCACUUCAUAUUCACUUUUUAAUUUCAAUGACUUAACGCAGUCUAAAUCUUUAAUAAAAUGCUCUUCAAUUGUACUUUAAGGUAUCUUACUGCAGUUCCAAAUUCUGCCUAUUUCUAGAUACAACAAUUGUACCCAAAAUCAGGAUACCAUGCUUUAACUCAAGCCAAGGAGCACUGCAGUGUGUGGCUUUGGGCCUUUUUAACCAUCACAGGAUGUCUACAAGACACUUCAUAGGGAUGCACUGAAUAAAUUUGGCUCCAUGUAACCCUAGUUUUGAGUUUGCUUCUCAGACAUUGGCUUUUCAUUCUGUCCAUCCUUGAACUUCCUAUCUCCUUCCGUCAACUGCUCCUGACCUCAGUUUGUCCACUCAGCACUUUUUGUGCAUGCUUGUUGAUGACAUGUCCAUGACCCCAACAUCUGACCUCAAGUGUAUAUCCUGUUUUCAUGUUUGAACAGGCUCUGGUGGUUCAGGGGAGCUUGUUUAUGAAUCUUAAAUCCCCACUCAAUUAAUAGCCUCUGGAAGUAAAGCCAUACUUCACCUGUAGUAAGUCAAAUACAGAGUGGGUUGUCUCGUUAAUCUCUGAAUGAUCAGUCCUUGGACUUCUAUUAUAACAUUUAAUAGGACCCGACCUCAGUGAGCUCACAAGCUGGUACGAGAGCAAGUUAUCUUUAACAACCAUUAAAAAAAAAAAAAUACCACAAAGGGAGUGCAUACAAAGGGCAAGGGAAGAGACAAGACAAAAUGCAAAGAGCCAGAACAUUAUGGUUCAGGAAGAGAUUAAUGUUCACAAGGGGAUCCACGAGAUUGCACUCAGAACAGGUGGUAUUUAUAAAGUACUACGAAGACUAAUGCUUCCACUAACAGAAGAAGAGCUGAUGCUGAGAAGACAGGUAGAACAUAAGCUCUGUAGGACUUUGUAGUCAACGUUGCCAAUAUAAGGACAAAGUUGAAAGGAGAAAACUCUACAGGACACAGAACUUCAAUCUUUUACCCAUACUCUAUUCAAACCCCUCUCUGGCUUCUUCUCUGCCCAUUGGGUGAAAUCUAGCGCAGUUCUUUUGACUCUGCUUGCUCAUUCUCUUUCAUCUCAGUAAUGAAAACAACCGACCCUGUGCAAUGGCCAAAAAUACCAAAUUUCAUUGCAAGUCAAAACAUCUUUCCUUUUGCAGAUUUGGGAGGUUAGUAAUAUUUUUUUUUAUGCCUGGACUCCUAUUUUCCUUCUUCCCAGCUUGCUAGCCCAGGGUAUAGGGAGGUGUGGGCAGAGGCACAGGAAGGAGGAGGGAGAAGAAAAGGUCUUCCUAGAUUGAGACAGUUGUGAUCAUCCACUGGUGCCCUCUGAGGUUGGUUAAUGUUCAGAGCUGACCUUUUCUCUCUAAUGGCCUGAUCUGUGGACCCUUAACUAAUUGUCUUUGGGGAACAUUUGACUACACCUCUGUUAACAGGAAGUAUUAGUUACCUAUUACCACAUAGAUACAUAUAAAAUACCCUUAAAACAAAACUAUUUAUUACCUCACAUUCCUGAGCCCAGGAAUCCAGGAUCAGUUUAGCUGGGUGGUUCUGGCUCAGGGUGUCCCAGAAAACUUUGCUAGGGAAUCAGUCAUCUGAAGAUUUGACUAGGAUGGAAAAAUAUUUCUAAAAUGGCUUAAUUAACACAGCUGUUGGCUUGAGGCUUCAGUUCCUAGCUAUGAGAUACUCUCCUUAGGAUUGCUCCAGUGUCCUUAUAACAUGGCAGGGGGUUUCUUAUAACACCCUCCUUCACCCCAGCUUGAAGUCCUUUGGAGGAAAGUCCCUUUUAAGGCAACCUCCAUCUGAUCACUCCAAAAGAAGAUUCACCUGGUUUACAAUACCAAAGUAGUCCCCAAAGUAGCCACUUCUCUUUGCUUCACUACUAGGAAAUAGCAAAACCUCUUGUCCUUAAGAUUCUUGAGAUGUGGGUCAGACAUGAGGUCCAGGAGCACAUACUUAUCUCUUAAAUGGACUCUCUCCAGCCUUCCUCGCUAGUCUUGGGAUGAAUAAACAUCAUACACAGAAGAGGUAGGGCAGGGAAAAUGCCAUGACAUUAUAAAAACUUUCUUCUCAGCCCAGUACCCACCUCAAAGAUAUCAAAACAGUUGACAUUGAAGAGGUCAGGAGCCAAUAAAAACACUUAGAUCACACCCUUUGAAAUGUCUGUAUGAAGUUUUUGCCACCUACUUUGUGCUAUUGAAAGCUUCAUCCAAAAGUGAGAGUACACAUUCUGUUUAAACAUUUUGUUAUACAAGGGUAAGGAUUUUGUCAGUGCGAGUGUUAGCUCUACUCUGCAUUUUGAAAGGUGUUUGUCUUUGGGUUUCCCAAGACAGACCCAAAGGCAAGGACUUGACUGCAAGCGGUUUAUUUGGGAAGUAAUACCAGGAAAUAGUUGUAGGGAAAUGGAAGAAAAUAAAGGAGCAAAUAAAUGCUGUAUUAUAAAAUUAUUUACUACUGUGGGCAAUGGGAGCUGAAUCCUCUGAGAAAUUCCUGGAAACAGCAAAAAAUAUACCUACCGUUGUCCACUACCAAAGGACAAAAAUGCCUGUGUAUUUAUAUACCAACUUCCUGUUCAUCAUUGAUUGAGGAGACUGCUUUCUGGGCAUUAAUUAACUCUCUAAAACUUCUGGUUUGCACUACUUGGAGGCUGAAUACCAAGCUAUCCCUGGUUGGGUGGCCAACCAUCUCAGUGCUCAGUAUUGGAAGGUUUCCCAGAAUGACCAUUUUUAUUGCUAAAACUAGGACAGUCCCAGGCAAACUAAGAUGGUUGGCCACCCUAUCCCUAGGUAGAGGGUUUCAGGCAUUGGGAGAACAGACUGCCCCAUGCAGAGUGAGUGCCAAGGGGAUGUAGACUGGGUAUCAGUAGUAUCUGUGAUAUCAAGUGACCUUGGAAAUUUAGAAAUAAGUGUUUUGUCCUCCCACAGUUUUUGUCCUUGAAUCAACCCCUGCCUGCUCCAAAUACAAAGACCAACUCUAUAAUGCCUUGCUUCAGAUAUCUUGGCAGAAACUGGAAAUAGAAGCAGCUAGAAUCAAUGUCUUUCCUUACUUUUUUUAAAGGCUGAACUCUACAGAAAACAGUUGUCUGUAGGGGAAAGAAGAGAGAGCAAGAACAAAGAAAGGAGAGAUUCUGGAAAAAAAAAAAUCAUCAGAUCCCUUUAUAAGCAAGUCUUAGCACACUGCUCAGUUGCAGAACCCAUAGAGAUGGAUUCAACAAAAGUGGACUAUAUUCUAGGCAUGGAAAAUACUGCUUUCACAGAGCUUAAAUUCUAAUUGGGGCAAGUGGGGUGGUGAGAGGAAUAGAAAAUAUCAAAUAUUAAAAUAUAAGCUAUGCUAUACAGAAAAUAAACCAAAAUGAUGUGAUAGAGGGAGAGUGAUUACUUUAUAUUGGGUGGUCUCAAAGCUUCCUCUGAGUACAUAGUUGAACUUAGACCUUAAUUUUAAAAAUGAGCCAAUCAUGGGAAGAUCUGAAGAAAGAUGAACAGAGAGGACAGAAUUUAGCCUUAGCAUUUAGGCUUAGCUCACCUAAGACUUUAGGAGCAUUCUAUAAUCCUUAGGGGAGGAAAACCCCAAUAAUAAUUAAGACAUAUUUUUACCAACCCAGUUGGAUAGGCACUCAAACAGAAUAAACUUGCUCUAAGGGGAAAAAAAGACAAUAAUAUAUUGUUUUGCAUCCCUGAGUGUACAAAAUGCUUCAUACUAAGGAUGAAAAGGAGAAAACUACAUAUGAGAAAGAUGAAAACAUGUAGUGACAGAUACGUUUAAGCAGCCUUAGUGGAUUAAUUUCACUAAAUUGAAUGUGAUCUCCACUAGCUCACUAUAAACUUAGUGUUGUCAUCCCCAAUUCACAUGUAAAGAAAAUGAGGAUCAAAAUAACAAAGAGACUUGCCCCAAUAACAGAGUUAUUGAGUAUCGCAUUUGGAGUUAAGACGCAAUCUCUCUACAAAAGUCAUUUUCCACCAUUUUGCUCACUUUCCUCUAUCAACCAUCACACUGAGCCUCUCUGGGUCCCAGCUUCCUUUUAUCUACUUGUCUAUUCAUCUAAUAUUGAGCACCUACCCUAUGUAAGGUUGUGAGCUGAGGGCUGUUGAGGGCCAAUGAGGGCAGGUAAUUACACAUAAAUAGUAUGCAGUUCCUACCCACAAAUGAGCUUGAAAUAUGGCAGUGUACAUAUUCUAAAACACAAAUAAUUUUUCCAAGUUAUGAAGGAAGGGUAAAGUUAGGGUGCAGGGAGAUAGUCAGGGGUUAACAUGCUCAGUGUAAGUAAGCACAGUCUACUAUGUGUGAGCUUCCCAGUCUCCAGACUGCACUUGGAGCCAUUUGUGAAAUUUUUUCCCUAGUUAUGGGAUGCAUAGGAGGGUCCUCUUAGGUGUGGCAGUCAAUGUAAGCUGUGCUGAAAGCUACUUUUGAAUAUGCAUCCUGGGUGCAAGGAGAGUUAAUCCAUAGUGGUACUUCCAGUGGCAGGAGGAUGCUCUGAGAAACUUUUACCUACCUAAUAUUUAAAGUUAUCUUACUUUGAUUUGAGCCAUUUUUCCAGUCUAAUCUCCUGUUAAUCUCUUCCUUGAACCCUAAUUUUCAAGUCAACCCAGUUUUAUACUUCUCCAUAAUAGUAUCCUAAAUUUAUCUUUCUUUCAUGCUUUCCUCUUUUGCUAAAACCAAUUCAUCCUAUUCUCUGAAAGAGAUGAUGCAGCAUUCUUGAUGAUUCAGCUGGGAUUCCUAUAUUCAGAGAGAGCAAGGGUUGAGGUGGGAAUGGGAGAGGGGUGCCUAUAAUCCUAAAUUCAAAAUUUUAGAAACCUGAGUUCAAUCUCCUACAAUGAAGCUUGCAUGGCUACAUGACUUUACAAAGUGAAAGACCUCACCUCUCUCUGGACCUUCAGUUUGUUCAUCUUAAAAUAUAGAAUGAGACUUGCCUACCUGGCAGGGCAGCUACAAGAUUCAAGAUAAUGAUUGCAAAAUGCUUUGAAAAUUGUGAAGCAAUCCUUUAUGCAUGUGUUUGCUUAUGCAAACGUAAGGAAUUGUCAUUAGUAUUCAGGAUCUUCUUAGCUGAUAUGUUUUUGCAAGAGUUUGGCUAGAAUCAUGAUUAAGAUAUGUCCCAGCUGAGUAGCUUCUUCCACUGCAGCUUCAUCCAAUAGCCACAAAGGGGAUAAAACAGGCCUUUUGUGAUUGUUUUUCACAUAGUUGGAAGCAUUUCAAAGCAUCGGAUUUUUUUUAGUGAGCUCUGCUUUAUUUGCAUUAAAUCUAGUUCCAUCCAUGCCAAAGAAAUACUAUAAACUUAUGAUUCCAAAGUUAAUAGUUUAAAAUAAAAAUAUAUAUCCUACAAUUUUUUUUAAAAUUCAGGAUUUGAAAAGAAUUCAUAUAUCACUGACAAUACCGAUGAAUCACAUUCAAAGGGAGAAAGGAGGAAGCAAUUUUGGUUAAACAGGAAGUUUUUCUAGGCUGAUAAUGAAGUGUAAAGCUUUCUCCUUGACUGGCAGAAAAAUAUAACUAGAUCCAGUCAAUUAAUCCAUCAAUAAAUCCAUGAACAAAUAAACAUAGACUAGAAAGAAAAAAUAAUGUAGAACUUGAAGGAGAGAUUACUACCUGAAGGACACUGGAGAAGGAACAGUUUAGGGAAGAGAAUGAUGAAUUCGCUUUGGAACACAUUGAUUUUCAAGUGCCUUUGAAAGUGGAGUUUGGAUAUGCAAAGCUAAACUCAGAAGCGAUGAGUCAAGCUUGAAAUAAAAAUAUGGCAGACAUCGCCAGAUAGCUGUUGAAACGCUGGGAGGGGAGUUGAUGAGUGAAGGGUAUGAAUGCAGCAUGGAGGAAUCAGGACAAAGACGUGUAUCCAGCAAAGAAGGCUGGAAAGAGGCAGCCAGAAAUGUGGUAAGUAAGUGAAUGUGGUAUUACAGAGCCAAGGGAAAAGCAAACUGAAACAGAGGGCCAGUCUGAUGAAUCUAGUGUCAGGAGAACUAUUGAUAGUGGUUCAUUGGAUUCAGCAACAUGAAGGUAACUCAAGUGAGUGUCACCGUGGUGGAAUUAUAGGGCAGAAGCAGAUUGGAAGGGAUUGAAGAAAGAAUGAAAAGUAAAAUGGGGACAGAAGAGAUAACUUUUUACAAGAAAUUCAGCAAUUAGGGGAAGGGGAGAAAGGUAGGAGAGGAAUGUGGGGUAUUGAGGGUCUGUUGAUAAAACUGGAAGAAACUGGGGCAUGGGUGAUUUUUGACAGAAGCUGUGAACUGGAGAUGGGCACUUGCCGUCUGCCUCUACAUGGACUGACUCAUGAGCCACUGUAACUGCUGACCCAGCAUCCCCAGAAAGGAGCUCAGGCUGGAGAUCAGAAGAGAGGUACUUCGUGCUCUAAGAAAAUGGGCAGAACAGUUCUUUAGGUAGCUAUCUUUAGGAGAAGAUUUUAUGAACCCAAUUCUUACAUUUCCUUGUGUUUAGAAAAGCACUAAAAUCCUUAAUGGUGAUAUCUGCUGCUCAUGACUAGCAGUAACCUUCAUGAACCUAGCAGCGACCGUCUGUAAAAUGUGUGCUUGAUUGCAUGUUCCUGCCCCUUCACCAAAAUCACAUAUUGUAUUGACAGUCACCCUUGCCUCUUCCAAGAGGUAUUUCAGAACUAUCUGAAAUUUUGCCUCCAGGGCUAUAGUCCUCAUUUUGCCUGCUCCCCCCUACCCCAUUUUGCCUGCCCCCACCAAAAAAAGAAAAAAAAAAAAAAAACCCUCAACUCUCAGCUUUUAGGUUGUGCAUAUUUUUAAGUCAACAAAGCAAUCCAGCUGAGAGGGAGAAGUUAAAGACAGCUUAAAGACAAGCAGGAAAGAGGCAGAGACUUCUAAGAAGACAAAAGAACAUGUUUACCAUAACACAGAUCAGGACCACUAUGCCUUUUGAUGGUGGAAGGAAGCUACCUGCAGAGGAUGAUACCGAACUCAAGCUACUUAAAGGAUGAGUGAAUUCUUCCAGGCAAGAGAGUAGAUAAAAGUAAGGCAUUCUACCUCUAGUGUUCUUUUCGACACACCACUGGGGCCUCUCAAAUUCGCCUGGACCGAGUGGAAGAAAGUGCUCUUGAGGAACAUUUUGUGGAGCUGUAAUUUUUCUAAAUUCCGUUUUUAUAAAUAAAAUUUGGGUUUACUUAUACAAGGCUUAUAUUGUGUGUCUCCACCCAAGGUGUAUUUCCCAUCUGGGUUAUUUCCUUUAGAAAAUGUGCAGCUAAUGGUAGUGAGUCUUAACUCCCAAGUGUCUGCAACUAUUUACAUGAUGCAAUGGGUUGCCUUACGCCCUAUCACAUUUCCUCUGUCGUGCCUAAGUGAAUAAUUUCCUUGUAAUCAUGAUGCUGCCUAAUUAGAACCUGUCUAUUUCAGCUGAAAAGGAGAACUUGGCCUUUUAGGUGGUCAGGACUGAACUCACUUGAUGAAAGACAUAUUUUUCAGUGGUGAGAGUUUGGGGGUUAGGUCUGGAUUGGGAAGGAGGCUUAAGAUCCAGAAUAUUCUGUAUGAGGUACUAUCCACAAGGAAAAAUGAGCUAUUAAAGAUAAGAAAGAUGUACUUACUUGUUCAGCGCUAACUGUGGGUACUAACCAAAAUGUAAUAAACAUGAGAAGAAAUUCAAUGCACAAAUAAGUACAUGGAAUGAUGUUCAAACUCUCUAGUAACUUAAGAAAUGCUCAUUAAAUUACAGUAAUAGUUUCACUGUUUAAUUAGCAAUAAUUUUUUUUAAAAUACUAGUAACUAAAGCUAGAGAAUAUAUGGUGAAAGCAGUACCUUUGAUCAUUCUUGGCAUUAGAGUAAAUAAACAUAAUUCUUUGCAAAAUGAUCUGGAACCAAAAAAAAAAAAGAGAUAUAAAAACAUUUACAUAUCUUGACACAGAAAUUAUUCUUCAUGAAAUGUAUCUUUAAAAAACAACCAAAAAGAAGAGUUCCUAUUGUGGCUCAGUGGUAAAGAACCCAACUAGUACCCAUGAGGAUGCAGGUUGGAUCCCUGGCCCCACUCAGUGGGUUAAAGGAUCUGGCAUUGCAGUGAGUUGUGUUGUAGGUCGGAGACCUGGCUCGGAUCUGGCAUCACUGUGGCUGUGGCACAGGCUCCGAUUAGACCCCUGUCUUCCUGGGAAAUUCCAUAUGCUGCACUUGCAGCCCUAAAAGAAGAGGAAAAAAAAAUAGAUUGAAUUUUAUUUUACAUACUGGAGUUGAAAGCAUCCUGAUUUUCUGUAACUCAACUCAAUUUCUGACUCUGACACCUAUUUGAUUGUUCUAGAAAGUUGAAUCUCAGUUAUUGGGGUUUUCAUAAAUAUGGGCUUGUAUCAGGGUUCCAGGAUCACUUACAAUGCUUAAGCUGCUCAGAACUGGGGAUAGGUCAGCCUUCAGUAACCAUCACCCCACCACCAAGGUGCCCUGCAGCUCAGCCUCUCUGUUGCUUCUGUGUCAUGUGUGAGGGAAAGGGAUCAUCAAUAAAUCUGAGGACUCUUUUCACAGCCCCACACCAUGCAUACCCUUCUGGGUAGGAUCUUGCCACCUUGGCCACCUUCCUACAUUAUUGAUGUUCCUGAUUACACGGUUUUCUCUCUCUCCCCACUUCCUCUCAUCCCAGGGGGUUGGGGAGAUACCCUCCUCCACAAAAAAAAAGAGGAGAGGAGAAUGGAUCCUACUCUUACUCUGUUCUCUAAGACACUCUGCCUUUCCGCCAUCCCCUGGCUGCUCUCUCUUUUCAGCCUAUCAGCACCCACAUUUCCACUUCAAAGUUUUGAAAACAAAAGUCAAGGAUAAAAGGAUUUUAUAGAGGGCUAUGCUUUUACCCCAAACCCAAGCCCCCUCUAGGCUGGAGUAAGAACAUUCUAUCUUGUGUUGGAUGAGGGGAGGCGGCAUGGAUCAUUGAAAAGAGUAAUAUCUCAACAGGAAUUCCUAUCAUGGCUCAGUGGAAAAAAAAUCUGACUAGCAUCCAUGAGUAUGCAGGUUCGAUCCCUGGCCUUGCUCAGUGGGUUAAGGAUCUGGUGUUGCUGUGAGCUGUGGUGUAGGUUUCAGACACAGCUCAGAUCCCUGCAUUGCUGUGGCUAUGCUAUAGGCUGACAGCUGCAGCUCAGAUUCAACCCCUAAGCCUGGGAACUUCCAAAGCCUGGGAACUUCCAUGUGCCAUGGAUGCGACCCUAAAAAGACAAAAAAAACCCUCAAAAUAUUAUCCUGACAUAUAUGCAUGAAGAUUGCCAUGACAAAAAGAAAUGGCAAAGGAAUUGGGAAAAAAAAAAAAAAAAAACUAUCCAACAAUGGGAUGUGAUCAUGUAACCAGUCACCAAAUCAGGCUUUAAAAAAAAAUUACCUGAAUUUAAUCCUCAUAAUAAUCUUGGAUUGAAUUUCUCAUGUAAGCAUGAGAAAUAAUAAUAAUUAUUUUGAAGGCAUCAACCUGGAAACAUAUUUCUAUAAUAUCUACUAAUCUCUGAUUAUAUUCAGACAUAUUUUACAUAAUCACAAAAUCCAAAGCUCACUAUCAAAAAUGAAAAUGUCCAAUGUAUUUAGGUGGUGGGAUUUUGUGUGAAUUACUUUUAAGAUAAGGAUUAUAUAACAAUAUUAAAAAAAAUAAAAACUAGAGGGAAAAUAAUUCCUUCUAGAUUUGGAAUAAGAAAUGACAAAUAUCCUUGUGGAUUUUGCCUCAGAGGGAAUUGUUAAGAUUCAGUUCCAAGUAUUCAAAGUUCUUCCAGCAGCUGCCACUGUCAAUGAGUUGAUAUUAUGAAGACGGUCUCUCAAAUUAAGUUUCUCUAAUUCACUGAGACCUAUUCUCUGCCUCUCCAGAUCCUGUCAAUCCUUUAAAUGCUAGAGAAGUUCAGAAUAAAAAAUAAUUUGGAAAGAAUAGUCAAUGAGGCCUCUGAUAAGUGGUGAGCAGUAUGGCCCAUGUGACAAAGCAUUUGUCUCUAAAGAAGGAAAAAAAUCAGUCUUGUUGAGCAUCUUCUACGUUCCAGACACAGGGGUAGAAAGUUUACCAUCAUUAUCACACUUAAUAGACUCUGUUGGUUUCAUUUUAGUGAUGUGAAAACUGAGGCCCAGAAAGGUUAAGUGAUUUGCCAAAUGCCACUCAAUGACUAAGUCAGAAUCCAGACUCAGGUCUGGCUGAGCCCAAAGCCCUAAUUAUUUUCCAUCACAUUGCUUCUCCUCAAAGUGGACUCUCAUUGGCAAGGCCAAUCUGUCUGCCUGAGGUAAUAUUUUAAAAACAUAAAAAGUUUCAUUAUCAUCAUAAAUUAGUGGAAAUACUAAACAAUGUGCAAUUCUUAUCGGAAAGCAGUGAUACCAUGGACCAAUAGCAUUUCCUAAAAGCAUAGUCCAGGAAGUAAGUGGCCCCUGAAAGAAGCAUUCCAUGGCCAAAUAAUAUGGGCAGAUGCUAUAUCCUACUGGCCUCUUUUGGAGAUUCACAGUCCAUUGAAAGGCUAUGAGUAGUUAGAAAAAACUUUUUAUUUUUUUAAUCCAGUGGUUCCUAGUCAUAGAAUCCUUUCCAUCCUAAUACUCUUAUGGCUCCUGACUGAGUUGCAGAAACCCAUCAAAGACCAUGGAGGUCAUCUCCGGGGUUAAAGGACACCACUUUCUGGGAAAGAGGGGUAUUCUGUAAGACACGGAGUGGGGGACAGCUGUGCUCAGUGAGAGGAUCACACUAGGAGAAAGGGAUGUUCUCCUCAUCUGAGCAGAACCAGCAAGACCUCAGCACAGUGAAGUCUCUAGGAAAUGUAACUCCCCAUCGGCCCAGAAAAAGCCUGUAGCUUUGGAAACAUCACAGACAGGCAGCACUGAGGCAUGGCACAGUGGUGCCCAGCAAUGAUAAGAGGUCAUCUGGUGGUUUCCAAGCCACACCCCUCAAUAAGGGCAGUUAGAACAAGAGGGGAAGCCUAUGCUUGGCCCAGAUCAGGGACACAAUCAAUGCUAAAUGGCACAAUGCAAAGUUUGCUUAAAUGUCCUCAAGUUCCUCCUGUGAUGCAGGAAAGAGAUGGCAAACUCUGCAGGGUUUAACUAAGCAAGAAUUUAAUGAGGGACUUUUUACAGAUAGACAGAGAGAGUUAAGGGAAUCAGCAAUGGUUGGGGAGGCACCGAGGGGUCAGCCACUGCAGGGAGCAUUUUCCACCCCUGGGUCUGAAGGCAGAAGGGGAGAAAGCAGUGUCAUCAAGCCACAGAAGAGGGCCCAUCUGAUAGGGGAUGAGAACAGAAGGGCCAGCCCAGCGGAAAGGUAUUGGGGAUGUGCUAAUAAGUCUGCAGAAGCUGAUGGGAGAAAGAGAUGAAAAAUGUGGAUAAUUAUUAUAAAGCAGUCAUAAUCUAUAGCCAUAGACUAGGCAGGACUAGAGACUCAAGAAUUACAGUGAAAAACUCAAAAAUCUUAGAAUUUUAAAAUCUAGAAAAUCACAGUUAACAUGGAAAGAAACUAUAUUUGGGUAAAAUCAAGGCUCCCCUUUCCAUUUCUGUGGCUAUUGCAUUUGCCUCCCACUCAUUUAUGCAAAGCUUGCUGAGUUAGUUUAUUUGUGUUGCCUUCUUUUCAGCGUUCCUCAGAUGUGACACUUGAAAACUGUGGUGGUGGGUUUAUUUACUUGAAUCUUUGCUGUGGAUGAGCCCGCCCACUACAUGUGGGGAAAGGUUUAUGCCUUAGGAGGAGUGCUUCUACCCCAGCUAAAUAGAAAUAGGCUAUCAGCUCACCCCACCCCUGGUACUGAGUCCAAGUCAUUCCAGGAACACCCAAGGAACUGUUGUUCUUGGGGCUUGGGUCCCCGUGUCCUUCUCAAAAAUGUUCUUGGAAACCACAGGGAUGCCUGGAUGAUGGCCCAGAAUGUGUGGAACAUAGGGCCGAGGAUUCUGCUGACCAAAAAUGGAUAAAUAGAGUCAGACGUGUCUCUGGGAGUGGAACCUGCAUAGAGAAAAGAGAGACUGAAAAGGUGAUAGCCAUGGCCAAAGCCACUACCACCCGUAGGGCUAAAGAGACACAGGGAGAAGACGCUGCUUCCAGAGCUCCAUGAAAGCUAGAAUGCCAGCCUAGUGGGAGCUUGGACCAUAAAUAGGAUUAUCCAGUCGCAGCUAGGUACAGAUGCACUGAAGGCAUUGCUAGAGAGGCUACUCAAAGCAGAGAGAAGGGGAAAGAAAUACCCUGGCUCAUCUUCUCAUUCUGCCCUCUAAUCUUCCUCAAGCUGGUCUGAAGCCAGGUGGCAAUUAACGUUAGAAAGUUUAUUCCCCUAUGAUGUAGAGCAAGAGUGAGAAAAGGGGUGGGAUGAAUGUUAAGAUCAAACAGGCAAGUUAUCACACACCAUUCCACGCAGAUGUUCAUCCGCCGCACCUCUGAACUGGUCCCGUCGGUAUUAUCAGUGACCUUCCUAUUGCCAAAUACUACGGUAAAUUCUUUUUUAUCUUAAACUCUCCAUAGCAUUUAAACCCGUCGAUCAACUCUUCUUUUUAAAUUAUUUUCUUCAGUUGGCUUCUGGGACAUAUCCCUUGGCUGGCUUCUGGUUUUUCUCCUAUAUCAUUUGCUACCACUUUUGCCCCCCACCCCCUUGCUAAUUCCUUCCCCAUCUUCCCAUCAUCUCAAGUUUCCUUCUUUGGUUAUUUUCUAUUUUCUAUUUGCUUUUACUCCUUAGGUGAUCACAUCUGGUCCCUUGUACAUAAAAACUACCUAUCUAGACACUACCACCCAGAAAUUUCUAAAUCUAGCCUCACUCCUCCUGUUAUAUGCCAUAUAUUUCUUUUAUCUAGAUACCUGUUAGAGGGCUCCGGUGGGAUGCCAGUAGGUAUCUAAACUACAAUAUAUCCUAAAUUAAAAAUUUUUUUUUCUUCCAAAAAUAUGUCCUUUUUCUAUUUUCUAAGUUCAAGUCUGUGCUCAGUGUAGAUAUGGAAUGUACAUACUCUGUAAUGUAUAUUAUGAAUACAUUCUCUGUAAUCAUUAUGAAGUAUUUCAUAAGUAUUUCUUCAAUAAACACUAGCAGACAGCCUGAGAGCUGCCCAGUCCUGGGCUCCUGAGCAAGGCACUAAGUAAACAAAAGCAAAUCAGACGUGAUACCUAACCUCAAGAGAGAGAGAGACAUAUCAUUUGUGCCAUCUGUGUAUAUAAAUUGUAUAUAUAAUCAGCUCUUCUCCUCUGCUUUAAGUUCCCUGACAUCAAGUAUAUUGUUAUGAUUCUUUGAGUUGAAAUAUGGGCUAGUUUGAGCAAGAAGCAGGAUUUGGUGUGUCUUACAGAAGUCAGAGUAGGCAGAGUAAUCAAACCACAUAAAGGCAGGGACCUCGACAGUAGCGACAGUAGCGUGUGUGGGAAGUUUUCUCUAGAAUGCUGUGAUAAUGAGACUGAGCUCCAAGUCUCAGGGGCACAUAAACAAAAGAAUCACAAAGGAGAGUCGUCCUGUGAGCCCCAGGCUCCUCAUUUGUAAAACAGAGAGGCUGAUAACACAGUGCCAUUUUGAGGAUUAAAGAACUUAAGAUGUAGGAAACACAGGGCAUGAUGUUUGGCCACGGAAAGAGCCAUUCCCUGGAUGCUUACUAUUUCAGUUUUUAUUAUCAUUAUCAUGUACUAUAACUCUUCAUCUUUUAAGUAGAUGAAAAUUAGAGCCUGGAGGAAAGCACCUUAAUGUCAUCCUGAAAGUGAGGCAGGCAUUGAAGUGGGACCAGAACACCGGCCACCAAAUUGCCAGCCCAGCAUUGUCCUGAUGGUAUCAUUGAACCACUUCAUAAGAUGGAGAUACUGAGGUCUAGACAAGUUAACUAAUUUGUCCAUGGUCACACUUCUGCUGGCAGCUGUGCUCCACGGUGACGCAGCCAUGCUGGACCAGUUCAGACUAAACACAUAUACAUCAUUGUCUUCAUGUGUGCUUCUAAUGUGUCCACAUCAAACUCUGGAGAGGACUCUUGGGGACAGUAAAUGGGGCUGAGACCACCUCGAAGUAAUUUUCAACGUGCGUACCUGUCAUCCUCCCGUCACUUCUCCUGGAGCAGCCUCAGGGCAAGCCCACCGGGGCAAUGAUUCCAUGUUUCCAUCCAACCGCUAAACUCAUCCUUCAUGACCUGGGCCCAGGCCAACUCACCAGAUCGAGCUCCUAAGAAGAGAGCAUAUUGUGUGGUUGACAGGAAUUCCACUGAGAAGAGCUGGUCACCUCUUGGCUUCUUUAAUUGUUCCUCAUAAGGAACAUUUACGAUAUCAUGACGGGUGUUUGGAGGGAUGUUCAGACAGUAAUUUACUUGGGGGUAGAAAAACCAACCUUAUAAACACUGAAAAGAAGACAAAGCAUAUCAAAGGUUGCAUUUUUCUCUUUCACUCAAUAUUGAACAAAUAUUUAUUAAAUAUCCACCAUGUGUCAGACAUUACUCUGUGCUCUGGAGGCUCAAGGAAAUGAGAAUCAAUUGUGCCUUCAUCAAAAUCCCAGCUAACCAGGCAGGCAGUGUGAUAAGCUCUCUGGUCAGCUAAGUACACAUGCAGACCAGAUUCCCACUGAGGACUUGGGAAGGUUCUCAAGCAAAUGGUAAUUCAGCCGAGACUUAAGGGAUCAUCUCAGAGUUACUCAUGAGAGAACAGGCAGCACACAUAUGGGAAAAGUGUGUUCCUAUUAGAAAAAGGUGUAUAAGAAAGCAUAGGGAUAAAAAAAAAAAAUAGCGCUGGUCAUUAAAAAUGACAAAUCAAGUGAUGGCAGCUGGAACACUGAGUGUGCAGAAAAGUGGCCAUGGGGAGGCUGCAUAAGUAGACAGGGAACCCCACAAUGAAGGGACUUAGAAGCAAUAUUGGGACAUUCAGACUUUUUCCUAAGAGCACAAAAGAGCCAGUAAAGCCCUUUAAGCAAGAUCCUAACCACAAAUCCUAAAUAAAAAUGCUUGUAGAAGGGUCAUAUCUGCCACAUUCAUUCGAUCAGAGUCUACCAAGUUCCAGACUCUAGGCUGGCCCUUGCAUGGACUGUACAUCAUCAACUGAAUCUAAGAAAACUUAAGAAAGCUCUCUUUCAGAGUUUGCCAAAGUCUGAAAAAAAGAGGGGAAACAGAAAGAAGAGUAGAUUAGUGUGAUGCUUAGUUUUAUGGGUCAAUAGGCUCAGAGGUGGUGCCCAGUGGUUUGGUCAAACUGUAGUUUAGAUGUUGCUAUGAAGGUCUUUUGUAGAUAUGAUAAACAUUUAUAAUCAGUUGACUUAAAUAAAGCACAUCAUCCUCUUUCGUGUAAGGGGCCUCAUCCAAUCAGCCAAGAGCCUGAGGUGCAAAAAUCAAGGUUUCCCAGAGAAACAGGAAUUCUGCCUCAAGACUAUAACAUGGAAACUCUGCCUGAAUUUCCAGUCGGCUGACCUGCCCUGAGGCUUUGAGACUCAAGACUGCUACAGCAACAUUUACGUGAAUGUCCAGCCUGCCAGCCCCAAUAAUCACUUACUUAAAAUUAAUCUCUAGAUAAAUUGACAGUAGAUAGAUAUAAGGAAAUGUAUACACACACACACAGUUGGUUCUAUAUCUGUAUCAUCAGAUCUCUGACUUCUAUAACCAGGAGUCUGAAAACCCACUCCAAUAUCCCCUCUCUAUCAUCUGACUUCUCUGAGCCCAUUGUCUCAUCAGCAUAAUAGAGACUAAUCACCCUCCUUUAGCACCAUGGCUGGCACAUAGUAGGUGCUUCAAAUCAUUUCUUUUCCCCUUUCCUUGAUUGAUUGAUAGGAUAGCUACAUAUCCAAUGAAGGGGCAUUUUUCUGCUGACACAGGCUGCACUUGAUGAAAUCUGAUCUAGAAUGGGAAAUACUAAACAAAAUAAAAAAGAAUUUACUCUCCGAGUAUUAUUGCCACUGUGAUGGAUGGCUGCUCCAAAGGCUAUUUCUCAAGAGUUCACAGUAGAGAAAAAUGUUCAGGCUUGAUUUUGUAUGCGUGUAGAAAAUAAAUUGUAUGACAAGGGUGGCGACAUUUGGACGGGGGAGAGGGCUUAGCCAAGGAAUUAAACAUGUCAGGAGCCUCCAAAGAAAAAGAAUGUUGAAAUGGAAGGUGAAAGGGGCAUAUUUGGAAAACUUGACAAGUGGCACAGUGGGAGGAAAGGUGGCAUUCUGGAAUGGGGUGUCAGCCACUCUCUGCCACUAAAGCCACGAUUUGCCCUUAAUAAUUCAGCGAGGUAGAAAGGAAAAAAUAUGAGCCCAACUUCUAAAGCUCUAUUAUCACAACUGGCUUAAAUUAUUUUCCCUUGCUUAAUUGACCACACAGCAAACAGAGAGAGAAUAAAAUCAGCCAGGGCUUUUUUUUUUUUUUUUUUUUUUUUCUUUUAAAUGGAAUCUUUGCCUAGGUAAUCUCUCAAGUUCCUGUCAACAAAACUCCCAACAUUAGAAAUAAACGAGACCCUGGGAGACAAAAUAACUGGAAUAAUGUCACACAGAACAUAAGUAGAAAACCCAAGUAGAAAACCCAGGCCUGGGAGCUCCCAACCUCAGGGCUUUGCAAGGAAUGAAGAGUAUUAUCCUGGCAAGGAUGGCACACAGGUUGCAGUCAGCACACCAACUUUAAUUGAUUAACUGUGCUGGGUUGAGGUGUGUGAGAGCAAAUGCAGGUUCACCAUGAAAGCAGGGCUUAAUUGAUUAGUGAUAUCUGUCGUGGGAGCCAGAGGUUCUCCAGGCAGGCCAAAUAUUUGUCAUUCCUUAUCUGGUCUAACUUUUUCUUUUUUCCCCUGUAUUACAGGUCUGCAAAAUAUAGCUGGUGGGCCAAAUUGGGCCUACUGCCUGUUUUUAUAAAUAAAAUUUUACUAG